AUUAGUCGAGGGCCUUGCCCCCACCUUGCCUGGGCGUCAGGUUCUGUGUGGCUCACGUGGAGCUGAGGGACCUUCAUUCGGAAGCUGGAGGAUAUGUGGCCCUGGGAAGCCCAGCAUGAGUGGGAAGAAGCCUCAUAGCUGCCCGGUGGCGUGAGGGGUACAGAGGGGUGGGGGCGACCCGUCAGCCAAGGCCUUGGCCAGGCGUGGCGCUGGUGGCCCCUGUCUGUCAUGGGCUGAAGUGGACCCCCGGGGACUGCUGCUGGGUGGUGCUGCCUUCUGGAUGCCUCACACCUGCCCUACUCAUCCCCUGCAAGGCCUGCUCUGAUGGGGAACCAUCCCAGGCCCCAUGUACACCCAGCAUGCCUGCCACCUUGGCGGUGCCGCCUAGCCCUUGCCAUGGGAGGGGACUGUGGACUGUGCUCACUGGAUCCCCUCUGCCUCCCGCCACUGCUGUCAAGAGAAUGGCUGGAGGUACCAGACCUCCCUGCGCCCUGGGUGACCCCGACAGUGGCAGGGGAGGCCGAGGGCCGUGUGAGCAGCCUUUGGGCUGCAGUCCUGCAGGUCUGAGCGCCUGUGGCCAGGAGCUGUCCUGAACUGUGCUACAGUGUUUCAGGUACCCCAGGCAUAUUCCUUGGUGGGUCCAGGGGAACUUCUCUGUGUCUCCGAGACUUUCUGAGACACAUGGGAGCUUCUCGUCCAUCUCUGGAUGCUGAUUCUGUAGAGUCGGGAGGGCCCGCCAUGUUGACUGGGCUGUCAUUCUGCGAGGUGCACCUGCUUGGAGUGCUGGCUGGCCUCUUGCCGGCCGCUCUAACCUUAGAUGAAGCACCAUCCAGCCGUGAUGGACUUGUUUCCAGUUUUGGCACUGAUGGAAGUGCUGACCCAGGCUCUCCUGCCCAUCAGGGAAAUACCAGGGUGCAAGAACCCCUUGCAAGGACCACUGCUGUCUGUCUUGUUGUUCUGUCCCUUGAGUCACCCUGUAGUGGAACUGCCUCCUCCCAGGAACGGCCAGACCGAAAGGUCAGGAUCCUUGUCGGCUGCUGUCCAUUUUGGUUUACGUGGUGCUCAGUCUGGACAUGCUGACGUGCACCCUCUGGCUGUCAGACAGCCCUUGUGUGCGCUCCUGCUCGUCACUGUGGCCUCUGGGCGGGAGCGGAGUUAGGACCUUCUGUUUGCUUCUGAUGUCCUCAGAGUCUAGGCCAGCCGACUCCGGCUGUGACUCAGCCUUUGCAGGUGGGAUCAUGAUGUCCUGGGUGGGCACGGCCAUGGCGGCUCUUCUUCCUCCAGAUGCCCUGUCCCCAUGGGGGGCACAGGUGGGACCUUUAGCCCCUUGCUGCCCGGUAAGGCCCACUUUAUCAAGUGGUAGGACGUGUAGGCUUGUACCCCCACUCCCCAGGCACACGGACAUCAUUUCUUCAUCUGCCUGGGGUUUGAGGGUUUGAUAUUUAUUUUUACCAUUACACAGGUAUCCUCUUAUAGCUAAAGGGCAGAAGGCCCAAACUCAGUGUCCCUGUCAUGUCUUCCCCACUUGGCAUUAGGCAGGGGCUUCCUGUGCUUCACAGCUUAUCCUCUGUUGACUGCAUGUUUCUCAGUCACCUCCAGGCCUGCCCAAGCCUGUGUGUCUCAGGUCUGGAUAAAUCGACCCUUCAUGCUGACCACUGUGACUGUGGGACUGUUUACCCUGAGCUGGUGGACAGUUCUGAUCUCACUUCCUGUCUACUCUAGGUCCCGUGUUCUGACCUCCCUUCUUGUCUGCUCUGCGUCCUCCAUCCUGGCAGGGCCCCUGGUUCUGACCUGUCUGCUCUAGGUCCUGCAUUCUGACCUCACUUCCUGUCUGCUCUGUUUUCUACAUCCUGACAUCACUUCCUGUCUGUCUGUUGUGUGUCUUGGGUUGGUCAGUCACUGUUUUCCUGCUCCCGUCGGUGCUAUCCCCUCUCGGAGGCCGAGGUGCUGGACUUGGUGUGUGCCCUGCCUCUUCCUCCUGAGCCCAGCAUCCGACAGCAUUAGAAAAAUGAGAUCGAGAGUUUAAAAUUGCCAUUGUCUCACCUGAUGCUGGCAUCUGCAUCCGGGAGGCUUCCCUGCCCCGGGGAGCCCUGGUGGGGGACAGCCUGGUGCCACCAGAACCCAUAAAAAGCAAAAACGACUGGAGACUGGAGUAACAGAGCCUCGGGUCAUCUCGACUGCAGGAAGGAGGGGAGCAUGUCCAGCUCUGAGGUAGAAGGUUUUGAAAGCUCUCUGAAUUGUGCUGACUGGCAUGUCCAUUGUGAGCAGAUAUGUUUUCCUUUCUGCAGUAAUUUUGGCUACAUUAGAUUCGUUUUUGUUAA
Molecule: long non-coding RNA, 2321 nt
Organism: Odocoileus virginianus texanus
Lineage: Eukaryota; Metazoa; Chordata; Mammalia; Artiodactyla; Cervidae
Source: RefSeq, a predicted model, not a curated record